CGCACAAUUAUUACUAGAAACCCGAAUCUAUUUAGAUAAAUUAGAGAACACAUUAUUAUGGUCAUGUACCAAUACAAAAGUUGUUGCACCUUUUCAUGGUGACCCUAUUGAAUACAACCUUUUUUUAUUUCUAUGCACCUCUUCAUGGUUUCCUUUUCCAAUAUAAUAAACUUAUUAAGGUUUUUUUAUGAUAUAAGAUAAUAAAUUAAUGGUACCUUUUUCAUUCGAUAUAAUGUCAAACACUUUCUAACGAGGGAAGAAUAUAAAAGUAGCAACUAGACGUCGACAUGUGUCCACAUUGAUUCUCCUUGGAUAACAUCACUACCUCCCCUCCUGAGAAGACGAUACAAUGAUACAGAGCCUCGGCGAGUCUUAAGCCUGCACCUCUAUCACCAAAGCGAAGAGAAAACAACACCGGUCUGAUCUUUAGCGCCACAAGAGCCUGGGUGAAGAAGAGAUAACAACAUCACUUUCCUUCUGUAGGACCACUUCAAGCUCGCAUAACACGACCUGCAAGGAGACAUCUUCUGAUACCAUAAGAAUCAUCAAUGGGCUUCCCUAAUCACUCGUCAUGAUUUCUCUAACACACCACCAUGACAAGCUCAUCUUAAUACAUGGAAGGAGAUCCAUAUCCCACUCCUAGUUUCUACUUUCUCUUGGACAACCUUUUUCCCUGACAAGAGGAAGAGGAAGAGCAAGCAAUAUUUCUUCUCCUGUAUCCGUCCUAAUUUAUCACCCGGCUUCCUCCAAUCAUAAGUUCACGCAGCUCGCUCUCCUAUCAUGGAGCAUCCUCUGGGUUGAAUUUGGAAGGAGGCUGUGUCAAUCAACAGCCGAUACCCCUUCUUUAUCUGUCUUGCAGACUGGGGGUGGGAGUGGGGGGGGGGGGUGAGACAUCGUCUUCCUCGAGGCUCGAGUAGGGAAACGCGAAGGCGAAGUUUCCUUAAUGCCAACUAGACCGUGACUAGAUUGGUAAAACGAUGAAGCGUUGAAAUGAACUCGAUCUGUUUCGUGGAUGAACGACAAAGACUAUCCCCCAUCAAUUUUUGCAGCCAUGGUUUUGCAUACAAACAGGAAGAACGUUGUACUUGAAGCUGACAACAGCCACCAUGGCCAUCUUGGAGCGUUGCCAGUAAAGGGACAACACACUGAUGGCCACAGUAACUCCUUGAUGCUGCCCUCUUUCUAAUGGACCCUAUACGGACCAAAGAAAGAUUCACAAGAGACUCAUUGACAUCUGUUCUCUUCUACAUUUCUUAUGUGUGCAUAAUUCUCCUAAUACUUGAUAUCAAUGGGCUUCUUGUUUAUACUUAUCAUAAAGUCUCCAUAGAAUAUACACCAAGAAUAUACUCCCAACUGAUGUGGUUUGAGUUGA
This 1372-nucleotide long non-coding RNA is filed under the name Musa acuminata (dwarf banana). RNAcentral describes it as "long non-coding RNA (MACU_LNC004025)". The record is from RNAcentral. Lineage: Eukaryota; Viridiplantae; Streptophyta; Magnoliopsida; Zingiberales; Musaceae.